Non-coding RNA from Stegodyphus mimosarum, 73 nucleotides. The record is from Rfam. NCBI's taxonomy places the organism in Eukaryota, Metazoa, Arthropoda, Arachnida, Araneae, Eresidae.
GCCUUCGUGGCAUUGUGGUCAGCACGUUCGACGCAUAAUCGGGAGAUCCGUGGUUCGAUUCCCGGCGAAGGCG